This 182-nucleotide unclassified non-coding RNA is filed under the name Glomeromycotina sp. Its description in RNAcentral is "partial contains 5.8S ribosomal RNA and internal transcribed spacer 2". The stretch from base 1 to 71 matches the Rfam family "5.8S ribosomal RNA", at positions 84 to 154 of the family's 154-position model. Lineage: Eukaryota; Fungi; Glomeromycota. The record is from RNAcentral.
GUGAAUCAUCAAAUUUUUGAACGCAAAUUGCACUCCCUGGUAUUCCGGAGAGUAUGCCCGUUUGAGGGUCAGUUUAAAUCAAAAUCGGUGUGGUUUCUGCCUUUCGUGGAGACGCACCGGAUUUAGGUCGUCCUGUCUUCGGCUAAGUGACCUAACAUUUAGCAUGGUUUUUUCGAACGUCU